CAGUCGCCGCGGUAAUACGUAGGGUGCGAGCGUUAAUCGGAAUUACUGGGCGUAAAGCGUGCGCAGGCGGUUAUAUAAGACAGAUGUGAAAUCCCCGGGCUCAACCUGGGACCUGCAUUUGUGACUGUAUAGCUAGAGUACGGUAGAGGGGGAUGGAAUUCCGCGUGUAGCAGUGAAAUGCGUAGAUAUGCGGAGGAACACCGAUGGCGAAGGCAAUCCCCUGGACCUGUACUGACGCUCAUGCACGAAAGCGUGGGGAGCAAACAGGAUUAGAUACCCGAGUAGUCCCUGUCUCUUAUAC
This 301-nucleotide ribosomal RNA is filed under the name uncultured bacterium. RNAcentral's name for it is "partial 16S ribosomal RNA". It matches the Rfam family "Bacterial small subunit ribosomal RNA", at positions 509 to 807 of the family's 1533-position model. The record is from RNAcentral.